GCUCAGUAACACGUGGGUAACCUAACCUAUGCAGGGGAAUAACCUCGGGAAACUGAGUAUAAUGCCCCAUAGUCCACUACGCCUGGAACGGUGAGUGGAUCAAAGCUCAGGCGGCAUAGGAUGGGCCUGCGGCGUAUCAGGUUGUAGGGGGUGUAAAGUACCCUCUAGCCAUCUACGCGUACGGGUGUUGGGAGACAUAGCCCGGAGAUGGAUUCUGAGACACGAAUCCAGACCCUACGGGGUGCAGCAGGCGCGAAUACUUGACAAUGCGAGCAAUCGUGAUCAGGGAACUCCAAGUGGCUGGGGUAAGACCCAGUCUUUUCAUAACUCUUCAAAGGUUGUAGAAUAAGGGGUGGGUAAGGACGGUGCCAGCCGCCGCGGUAAUACCGGCGCCUCAAGUGGUAGUCGCUUUUAUUGGGCCUAAAACGUCCGUAGCCGGUUUGGUACAUUCGUGGGUAAAUCAGCUCGCUCAACGAGUUGAAUUCUGCGAGGACGGCCAGACUUGGGACCGGGAGAGGUGUGGGGUACUCUCAGGGUAGGGGUAAAAUCCUGUCAUCCUUAGAGGACCACCAGUUGCGAAGGCGCCACACUAGAACGGAUCCGACGGUCAGGGACGAAGCCUAGGGGCACGAACCGGAUUAGAUACCCGGGUAGUCCUAGGUGUAAACGCUGUGAACUUGGUGUCGGGAGUCCGCAAUGGGCCCCCGGGUGCCCGGAGUGAAGAUGUUAAGUUCACUGCCUGGGGAGUACGGUCGCA
Molecule: ribosomal RNA, 757 nt
Filed under: uncultured archaeon
Lineage: Archaea
Description: bacterial SSU rRNA
Rfam family: Archaeal small subunit ribosomal RNA
Source: RNAcentral